Molecule: ribosomal RNA, 497 nt
Filed under: uncultured bacterium
Lineage: Bacteria
Description: bacterial SSU rRNA
Rfam family: Bacterial small subunit ribosomal RNA
Source: RNAcentral
CUCAGGAUGAACGCUAGCUACAGGCUUAACACAUGCAAGUCGAGGGGAAACGACAUCGGAAGCUUGCUUUUGAUGGGCGUCGACCGGCGCACGGGUGAGUAACGCGUAUCCAACCUGCCCACCACUUGGGAAUAACCUUGCGAAAGUAAGACUAAUACCCAAUGACGUCUCUAGAAGACAUCUGAAAGAGAUUAAAGAUUUAUCGGUGAUGGAUGGGGAUGCGUCUGAUUAGCUUGUUGGCGGGGUAACGGCCCACCAAGGCGACGAUCAGUAGGGGUUCUGAGAGGAAGGUCCCCCACAUUGGAACUGAGACACGGUCCAAACUCCUACGGGAGGCAGCAGUGAGGAAUAUUGGUCAAUGGACGAGAGUCUGAACCAGCCAAGUAGCGUGCAGGAUGACGGCCCUAUGGGUUGUAAACUGCUUUUAUAAGGGAAUAAAGUGAGUCUCGUGAGACUUUUUGCAUGUACCUUAUGAAUAAGGACCGGCUAAUUCCGUG